This 403-nucleotide ribosomal RNA is filed under the name uncultured bacterium. Its description in RNAcentral is "bacterial SSU rRNA". It matches the Rfam family "Bacterial small subunit ribosomal RNA", at positions 1 to 378 of the family's 1533-position model. The record is from RNAcentral.
UCCGGUACUCGCCGAAUGCAUCUCNGAUUAUAGUUUGAUCCUGGCUCAGAGUGAACGCUGGCGGUAGGCCUAACACAUGCAAGUCGAACGGCAGCACAGGAGAGCUUGCUCUCUGGGUGGCGAGUGGCGGACGGGUGAGGAAUACAUCGGAAUCUACUCUGUCGUGGGGGAUAACGUAGGGAAACUUACGCUAAUACCGCAUACGACCUACGGGUGAAAGCGGGGGAUCUUCGGACCUUGCGCGAUUGAAUGAGCCGAUGUCGGAUUAGCUAGUUGGCGGGGUAAAGGCCCACCAAGGCGACGAUCCGUAGCUGGUCUGAGAGGAUGAUCAGCCACACUGGAACUGAGACACGGUCCAGACUCCUACGGGAGGCAGCAGUGGGGAAUAUUGGACAUGGGGCCU